GACGAACGCUGGCGGCGUGCUUAACACAUGCAAGUCGAACGAAGAGCGAUGGAAGCUUGCUUCUAUCAAUCUUAGUGGCGAACGGGUGAGUAACGCGUAAUCAACCUGCCCUUCAGAGAGGGACAACAGUUGGAAACGACUGCUAAUACCGCAUACGAUCUAAUCUCGGCAUCGAGGAUAGAUGAAAGGUGGCCUCUACAUGUAAGCUAUCACUGAAGGAGGGGAUUGCGUCUGAUUAGCUAGUUGGAGGGGUAACGGCCCACCAAGGCGAUGAUCAGUAGCCGGUCUGAGAGGAUGAACGGCCACAUUGGGACUGAGACACGGCCCAGACUCCUACGGGAGGCAGCAGUGGGGAAUCUUCCGCGAUGGACGAAAGUCUGACGGAGCAACGCCGCGUGAGUGAUGACGGCCUUCGGGUUGUAAAGCUCUGUUAAUCGGGACGAAAGGCCUUCUUGCGAAUAGUGAGAAGGAUUGACGGUACCGGAAUAGAAAGCCACGGCUAACUACGUG
RNAcentral lists this ribosomal RNA (510 nucleotides) under uncultured bacterium. RNAcentral's name for it is "partial 16S ribosomal RNA". It matches the Rfam family "Bacterial small subunit ribosomal RNA", at positions 28 to 507 of the family's 1533-position model. The record is from RNAcentral.